AUUGAACGCUGGCGGCAGGCUUACACAUGCAAGUCGAGCGGGGUGAUGGUGCUUGCACUAUCACUUAGCGGCGGACGGGUGAGUAAUGCUUAGGAAUCUGCCUAUUAGUGGGGGACAACAUCUCGAAAGGGAUGCUAAUACCGCACGCGUCCUACGGGAGAAAGCAGGGGAUCACUUGUGACCUUGCGCUAAUAGAUGAGCCUAAGUCGGAUUAGCUAGUUGGUGGGGUAAAGGCCUACCAAGGCGACGAUCUGUAGCGGGUCUGAGAGGAUGAUCCGCCACACUGGGACUGAGACACGGCCCAGACUCCUACGGGAGGCAGCAGUGGGGAAUAUUGGACAAUGGGGGGAACCCUGAUCCAGCCAUGCCGCGUGUGUGAAGAAGGCCUUAUGGUUGUAAAGCACUUUAAGCGAGGAGGAGGCUCUUUUGGUUAAUACCCAAGAUGAGUGGACGUUACUCGCAGAAUAAGCACCGGCUAACUCUGUGCCAGCCGCCGCGGUAA
RNAcentral lists this ribosomal RNA (502 nucleotides) under uncultured bacterium. RNAcentral describes it as "partial 16S ribosomal RNA". It matches the Rfam family "Bacterial small subunit ribosomal RNA", at positions 30 to 523 of the family's 1533-position model. The record is from RNAcentral.